ACCGUAACUGAUGCUUUUCAUC
Molecule: microRNA, 22 nt
Filed under: Panagrellus redivivus
Lineage: Eukaryota; Metazoa; Nematoda; Chromadorea; Rhabditida; Panagrolaimidae
Description: prd-miR-7905-5p
Source: miRBase by way of RNAcentral